UGUCGUUACUACCGAUUGAAUUAUUUAGUGAGACCUCAGGAUAUAAUCACUGUAACUCAUUUUACGUGUUGCGAAUGUUACGCAAAACUUGACUAAAUUUUAUUGUUUAGUGGAAGUAAAAGUCGU
This 126-nucleotide ribosomal RNA is filed under the name Glossina brevipalpis. RNAcentral's name for it is "eukaryotic small subunit ribosomal RNA". Lineage: Eukaryota; Metazoa; Arthropoda; Insecta; Diptera; Glossinidae. The record is from RNAcentral.